Molecule: ribosomal RNA, 453 nt
Filed under: uncultured bacterium
Lineage: Bacteria
Description: bacterial SSU rRNA
Rfam family: Bacterial small subunit ribosomal RNA
Source: RNAcentral
CCUACGGGUGGCUGCAGUGGGGAAUUUUGCGCAAUGGACGAAAGUCUGACGCAGCAACGCCGCGUGAGGGAUGAAGGUCUUCGGAUUGUAAACCUCUGUUGGAUGGGAAAAAAAGGUAGCAAUACUUUGAUGGUACCAUUUGAGGAAGCACCGGCUAACUACGUGCCAGCAGCCGCGGUAAUACGUAGGGUGCAAGCGUUGUUCGGAAUCACUGGGCGUAAAGAGAGCGUAGGCGGGAUUGUAAGUUAGAAGUUUAAUACAAGGGCUUAACCCUUGACCGGCUUUUAAUACUGCAGUUCUUGAAUGUGGGAGAGGGCGAUGGAAUUCCAGGUGUAGCGGUGGAAUGCGUAGAUAUCUGGAAGAACACCAGUAGCGAAGGCGGUCGCCUGGCCUAACAUUGACGCUGAGGCUCGAAAGCUUGGGGAGCAAACAGGCUUAGAUACCCCAGUAGUC